UUCGCUUUUGGUCUUAUUUCGUACCAUCUCUCGCUCACUUGUUCGCUCUUUCGCUCACCAACCCUUCUUCGCUUGCCUUUUCCGCAACGCAGUCGCGGGGGUGUUCAUCUGCUCAUAGAUCUGCGAAAUGUGCCUCUGAUCUUGAAUUGAUUUCCUCGUUGCGAGUUUAGGGGGACAGCAUCUAAAGAUUUCUGUGAUGGGAAAAUCUCCUGCAAAGUGGAUUAAAGCAGUUAUUUUUGGAAAGAGAUCAUCUAGAUCUCAUACUUCAAAAGGGAAAGAUGGUUUGAAACCUGGUGUUGAUAAAGAGCAUUUUUCUGGGGGAGAACCAUCUCAUGUCACAAUGAAAUCUCUGGUGAUUACUCAACCAGUUCUUGUAAGCAACAAUUCAAGUGGUCCAUCAUCAGAAAAUAGGACAGAUUCCACUUUAGUUACUGGAGCAGUUAGGGUUGAGAGCCAAGAAAUUGUUGUACAUCAAGCUUCAAGUAAUCCAGCCAAAGCCUUGGAAGAGCGUGCUGCUACAAAAGUUCAAGCUGCCUUCAGGGGUUAUCAGUCACGGAGGGUGUUCUGUGCAUUGAAGGGCAUCAUAAGACUGCAGGCUCUAAUUCGUGGGCACCUAGUGAGGCGUCAAGCAGUUACCACCCUGCAUUGCAUGUGGGGUAUUGUCAGAUUUCAAGCUCUUGUUCGCGGUCAGAGAGUCAGGCUUUCAGGUAUUGGCCUUGAAGUCAGAACAAAGUAUCCUCAAAUGAAGAGUGUGGAUGAUAAGAAGUUGGAUUUCUCGAAGAUGCAGCUGUCUGCGAAUCAAUUUGUUUGCAAGCUACUCUCAGCUCUGCCUGUUACAAAGCCUGUGCAGAUUCAUUAUGAUCCAGUGGAACCAAAUUCAGUCUUCAGUUGGCUGGAGCGCUGGACAUCCUCACAAUUUUGGAAUCCACUUCCUCAAUCAAAAAAGUCUGUCAAUGUGAAAUCUCGGGUGAGAUGCAGUAGUGCUGUGGAAAGUGAAUCUGUCAGAUUAAAAUCAAAUGUUCAUAAAAAUGUGGCUGCAAAGGUUGAUGUCAUGACUGAAUCAGAAAGGCAUAAACGUGUUACGAGGAAAAUGCUAAGCCCUCCUGCUGACUCUGUGGUAGAAAAUCCACAAUCUGAAAUUGAAAAGGUCAAGCGUAGUUUGAGAAAGGUAUCCAAUUCUAAAAAAGAGCCUGCUGAAAAGCCAGAAUCUGAAAAUCAGAAACCAACUUGCACUCCGAGAAAGGUGACAAACUCACUAUCUGAUGCUCCACAAGUGUCUAAUGAGCAUUCUUCAAUGAAGAUAAAAAAAGAUAGUGUAGUGUCUAUUGACAGUAAGCUUGAAAUAGUUGCUGCUGUAAAGUCCGUUGCAUCAGGUGGGCCUAAGAAUGCAGUAAUAGAUGACAGUACUGCGAUCAAACCGCAUAGCCCAGAAGAAAUCUGCAAAGAAGAGAGUAUUUCUAACUGUGAUGGAGAGUUAAGCUUGAAAGAUGUGCCAACUAGCAAUGAGAUCCAGAAGAGUAGCAAGAGAAGGGCUUCUUUCCCACCAAAGCCAGAACCUUUUGCAGAGAAUGCCUCGCAAAAUGCUCCAAGAUUACCAAGCUAUAUGGCAACUACUGAAUCAGCUAAGGCAAAGCUAAGAGGACAAGUUUCACCGAGGGUUGGAUCUGAUUCUGCAGAAAGAUAUAAUAUGCCUCGACGUCAUUCUCUGCCAACUUCCACGAAUGGAAAGUUAAACUUGCAAUCAUCACGUGCACAUAAGUUGAUCCAAGCAAGCUGCAAGGAUGGAAUUAGAAACGACAGAUCCUUUACAUCAUCAAGAGAUGGUAGUGGUAUGACCUGUCUAUCAUUCUGCUCAUACAUAUUUUGGUGUGGAUCUUCUAUCAUUAACUUCUAUCACCUUUCAUCUCCCAACCACCACCGUCCUAUGAUUUUCGGCCAUCAUACUUUGUUAUCUGACCAUUUUCCAUCGUCAUUCAUCGUUUGACCACUCCUACCUUCAUCUUUUAAAUAUUGUACAUCCUUCAAUCACCACAGUCCUUCAUACUUGUCUUCCCUCCAUCUUCUGAUAAAAAAUGGUCCAAGGCUUUGAUCAGUACACUGUAUUUGGUGGAUUAGGGAUGGAAGGUUGAAAAAUCUGAUCAUACCAAAACAAACUAUUCCUAAUGAUUUUAUCCCAACACAUCUUUGGAAUGCAGAACGGGAGAUCCUGUGUUGUUCUGAAUGUACUGGUGCGAAUAAGUAGACAUCCACACUUACCCCAAAGAAGUCGAUUCAAGUGGGAUGGAGGAGGUGACAUUGUCAGAGUGGUAAUUUAAAUUCUUCAAAGCGGAUAAGUUUUGCUACAGUCUUACACACCCUUACUGUUUGUUUUAUGGCGUAAGUUGUGCUGCAAUCCUACUUAGCUAAGUUGGAUCAUUACCGGUGUGGCGUGCAUACUGUUCCUCUUUGUCUCUUUCGUAUGUUGGAAAUCAUGUUACGGUGGGAUGUACAGCUUCAGUCCCUUUUGUGUGUUGCGUGGUUUUGUUUGGUCCGGUUGUUAUCGUUUUGUUUAUGUUAAGAGUUGUCGCAAAACAUGAAAUAUACCUUUUAUCAUAAAUGCCUUCCUUCACAAACA
RNA transcript from Musa acuminata AAA Group (dessert banana), 2614 nucleotides. It is a transcript of the gene named protein IQ-DOMAIN 31, with no coding region annotated. The transcript has 7 exons. NCBI's taxonomy places the organism in Eukaryota, Viridiplantae, Streptophyta, Magnoliopsida, Zingiberales, Musaceae. The record is from RefSeq and is a predicted model, not a curated record.